UGGAGGAACAACCAUGGUGGUGGCGGCCAGCUCUGGAGCCCUGGAUUCAGCUCCCGCAGUAACUAGGGAGUUCUCCAUCUGCAGGGCCUGGAUGCUCCGGAGACGG
RNAcentral lists this microRNA precursor (106 nucleotides) under Canis lupus familiaris (dog). Its description in RNAcentral is "mir-8834 microRNA precursor family". It matches the Rfam family "mir-8834 microRNA precursor family". The record is from Rfam by way of RNAcentral. RNAcentral also lists the same sequence under 1 other name. Lineage: Eukaryota; Metazoa; Chordata; Mammalia; Carnivora; Canidae.